UGCUAACUGUGUUGUUACUCCCUCGC
RNAcentral lists this non-coding RNA (26 nucleotides) under Rattus norvegicus (Norway rat). The record is from RNAcentral. Lineage: Eukaryota; Metazoa; Chordata; Mammalia; Rodentia; Muridae.